ACGUAGGUGGCGAGCGUUGUCCGGAUUUACUGGGCGUAAAGGAUGCGUAGGCGGAUAUUUAAGUGGGAUGUGAAAUCCCCGAGCUUAACUCGGGGGCUGCAUUCCAAACUGGAUAUCUAGAGUGUCGGAGGGGAAAGUGGAAUUCCUAGUGUAGCGGUGAAAUGCGUAGAGAUUAGGAAGAACACCAGUGGCGAAGGCGACUUUCUGGACGAUAACUGACGCUGAGGCAUGAAAGCGUGGGGAGCAAACAG
This 251-nucleotide ribosomal RNA is filed under the name uncultured prokaryote. Its description in RNAcentral is "partial 16S rRNA". It matches the Rfam family "Bacterial small subunit ribosomal RNA", at positions 525 to 775 of the family's 1533-position model. The record is from RNAcentral.